AGUGAACGCUGGCGGUAGGCCUAACACAUGCAAGUCGAACGGCAGCACAGCAAGAGCUUGCUCUUACGGGUGGCGAGUGGCGGACGGGUGAGGAAUACAUCGGAAUCUACUUUUUCGUGGGGGAUAACGUAGGGAAACUUACGCUAAUACCGCAUACGACCUACGGGUGAAAGCAGGGGAUCUUCGGACCUUGCGCGAUUGAACGAGCCGAUGUCGGAUUAGCUAGUUGGCGGGGUAAAGGCCCACCAAGGCGACGAUCCGUAGCUGGUCUGAGAGGAUGAUCAGCCACACUGGAACUGAGACACGGUCCAGGCUCCUACGGGAGGCAGCAGUGGGGAAUAUUGGACAAUGGGCGCAAGCCUGAUCCAGCCAUACCGCGUGGGUGAAGAAGGCCUUCGGGUUGUAAAGCCCUUUUGUUGGGAAAGAAAAGCAGCAGGUUAAUACCCCGCUGUUCUGACGGUACCCAAAGAAUAAGCACCGGCUAACUUCGUG
RNAcentral lists this ribosomal RNA (492 nucleotides) under uncultured bacterium. RNAcentral describes it as "partial 16S ribosomal RNA". It matches the Rfam family "Bacterial small subunit ribosomal RNA", at positions 29 to 507 of the family's 1533-position model. The record is from RNAcentral.